AGAAAAAGAGGCAAUUAAAAUCCAAGACUUCUAAAUCUUGAAGUCUUAGUGUACAUGUAGAUAAACAAACGCAAACACACACACACAUAUGCUUUUAACUCAAAACAAAAUUAAUUGAGCUAACACUUUCCUUCUUAAUUUUGAAACUCAUUCCUAAAUAUAAUACCUAUUUACCAAACACCUCCCUAAGAGAUUCUCCGAUCAUAGUACUUUCAGUCAAUCCCUCUUCUCAAUAGUAAACUUUCACACUCAAAUUGUUCAAAACAUGUGAUUAAUGACAUUCAAGACAUACAUCUCGAAUAAGUUAAACAAAAUAAAAUAAAUAAGUUGCCUAAGUCCUUGCCACCCCGCACCAAUAAUGAUGAAGAUGACAAUGAAGUUUUCCUGAAAUAGAAAAGAAAAAGAACAAGAUUCACGUGGUUUGGUCAGUUAAAUCUAAGUUUAUAGGUGGAUAAGAUUAAUGUUUCACCAUCAUGAAAAAGGAUAACAUGUGUAGGAGAAUAUUCUAAAGGACCCAAGGUAGAAAGACGAUUUUCAAAAAAUAAACUAGAUAUAUAAAAGGGAUGAAAUUCAUGAAAGUAUGUAUGCCAUAAAGACAAUCACUUUUUAAGAUUUUUUUAUAUAUAUAUUUGAACUAUUUAUGUAUUAACAAAUAACAUUUUUAUCAUAUUGAUUACUUGUAUAUUUACACUUGUAUGAUAAAGUCCCUAGAAUAAACUUAAUCAAUGAAAUCGUAAGUGUUAUGAUGGUGAGGUUCAUUUGAUUAAAUAUAAAGUUUAUUCUUAAAUAUCUCUAGUCAAAGUAUUUACAAGAACGGGACAUUGUUAAUAUUAUUAAACUAGCAUAUACUAUGCCGUUUCCAUUAAGGAAGUAGUAGACCUCAUCUACUAUAUUAUGUAAGACACAUAAAAUAGAAUAUGGGUGCUUGAUAGUAUAAUCCAAUUCCCUAGAUUGAUCUGUGUUAGAGAUUUCUUUUGUGCUAAAAGAAUUAAUCUCUAGAUGAUGUUUUACAUAAGUGAGUCUUGGGUUUAAAGUUAUCAUUGUGACAACCCGGCCUUCUCCUAGGGCAUACCCUAGAAGUUAGCGGACUGUCUGUCUGGCUCUCGUCAGGACUCAUUUAUUUAUAUUAACUUCAGAGAUAACAUUUCUCAUUAAUCAUCCAAACAUCCAUUCUUAAUAGUUCUUAAUAACACAAAAGCUUCGUCCACUACAAAUUAAACAAGUAAAUCAUCCAAAUGUUCAUUCUUAAGUACAUCACCCAAGUACAUCACCAACUAGUGUAAAAUAUAAAUCUAGCCAUUAAGAGAUGCAAAAUGUAGGUCUUAUCAUCAAUAUAUAACAUUAGACCUCCCAAAACACUCUAACUCUACUUGAUCGUCCUUCAAACUUCAGCUCUUGUAAGAAAAACAAAGCUACAAAGUUGAGCUAACGCUCAGUGAGGUUUCCAUGCAAGCAACAAUCAAUAAACAUUUAAACUAGAUAAGCCAGUAGCAAAAUUAAGCAAUUAAAGAACACUUCACUGAAUCAAGUAGAGAGCACUUCACUAAAUAAUGACUUUUAAAAGGAUACGGUGCUCGCAUUAGAGCCACUUCAAAGUACUACACACUCCACCAACUCCUCCUUAUAACCUCCAAAACAAUAAACACUUCCCUCACUUAGAUGGCCAUAUCUGUGACGCCCCCACUUCUCCCUAAGGCAUACCAAAGGGUAUCCGCGGGACGCCUGCCCAACUCUCGCCAGGAUUCAAGCAAUCUACGUUCAAGCUUAUAACGGUACUAGACAUCACAUCCAGAUAAAAUAAAUGCAAUUAGUGCGGAAGCGUUCAAGGUUAACAAUAUUUAACAAUCACCCAAUCCAUACAGCGGGGUCCAUGAUGCAUCCUAAAAUAUACAGUAGUCCAAAAUAUCUAGUCAAUAGAAUUGAAAUUCUAUUACAAAAGUCUAUAAAAGUACACAAAAUAGAAUUUCCUCCGAGUCUCAUUCCAAACCCAAUCCUUUUAAGGAAAACAAAUCUACAGGGUGAGCAAAAUGCUCGUGAGGCCAAGGACACACAUGCAGGCAUGUUGUUCAAGUAACACUCCCAAUUUAACAAGUCGAGCAAUAAUAUUUCAAUAAUAACAAUUCACGUUAGAAAAGUAAACAGAAACAAUUCAAGAAUAUAUGAGCUCUCAGGAGCUAUUUUUCACUUGUACGAUCACGAACCUCUACGAGUUGACACUCCGUCAAUCGGGUAGGUUUAGUCCGUAGAAGCUUCACUUACACUUUUCCCUUUCACCUUACAUACCACACCGGGCCCGCAAUACAUUUAUAAGGCAAUACUCUACGAGUAUGCCAAACAAGACCUCUCAAUAGGUCAAGCUUAUGUGAUCUCAUGGUUCACUAAGGAGCCCGACCAAGCCAAUGCCAGCUCGAGUCCAAGGUUAUCCAGUGAGAUUUGGGCGUCCCCUUCUUAUCACUUAAGAGUCAAGGAGGUUUACUCCAACGACUUAUGCAGCCGUAGCAUAAAUAAUCACUUAAAUUCACUUAACAAGUCACUUCAAGAAUUACAAGCACUUCAUGUCAUGAGAUUCAAAUACAUUACACUUAAAUGAGGACGAGUGUGAUAAAGUACACACUCGACUCGGCAUUUCUAAAAUAUUCAUUUAUCAAAAGCAAUUAACACGUUUCAUACUCUUGACACUCACCGAUACAAGAACAAGGAAGAAACGUCACUGGAAGUUCAGACGUUCACUGUGGGAUCCUCUUGAAGGUUCUCGUGCGAGCCUGAGCAAAUGAUAACGAAUUAUCACUUAGAACCCCCAUCUAUAAUAGAGGAUUGCACAUAGGUACAAUCUAGAAAUACCGCGAAAGGAGUCUUAAGUUCUUGUAAAUUGAGGCUCAAAGGUGGGGUUCUAAAACACCAAUGAAAACUGAUUUUUAUCUUUAAAAUUAUUGGAUGGAAACAAGUAGGUAUGAUACCAUGUAAGUAGAUUUUCAAACGAGCAAUCGAAGACAAAGUAAAACUGUACAUGUCACUAUCCGGCCGAAUUUUCAGCUGGAUUCAAGGCAGAGGCGAAGCUAAUUUUUUUCAAAUUCCACCACCAAUCCGGCCAACUAUCCAGCCAAGAACUGGCUGGAUAUACAGUCGGAUUCUGCGAAAAUGUUUCUCGCGCGAAAAUUUUUCAGAAGGCUAAGAAUUAUCGGAUUCGAAGGCAUUCUUUGAAAAAUCAUAACCCACUCUCUAUAAAUUCAAAAUUGGAAAAUUUGGUACCGUUGGAAACCACUUCCAAAGUGCUAAGAGUUUCUAGAAGACACCUUUCCAUGAAUCCAAGUGGAGGGUACCCAAAAAUUAGCUCAAAGUUGCUGUUUUGGGCAUUGAAGGCAGGUUUAGGUUGGUUUUUGACCAACUUUGAAAAUUCGGCAAAAUUCACUCACUUUGAACUAGCCUUCAAAAUUUGGUACUCUGCUAGAGUUGCAAUCCAAGUUAAAAACAAAAUAAGUGGAGUGAGAAUUGAAGUUUUGAGCACCAAGAUAUGGUGACCCAAAGUUACCAAAAUCUCCUUGUUAAACAAGGGUUUUCCAAGUUCAAGUCAUGAACUUUGGAAGUUUAGUUGAGCAAUGAAACGGCCUCGGAAUAGCACCAAAAUUAGCAGUAUAAUACUACCAUAUAAGGACUACUUCUCUGUAAAAUUUCAUAGAAAAAUAUGUACGGGAAAUCGGUUAACGAAACCAUUAAAAUCACAAGAAAUCCUAAGGCUAAGCUGCCUUUGAACUUCCGUUUUGCUGUUUUCGAACAUUUGGCCAACAAACAUCUCAACCAUGGUCCAUUCCAAUAGGUAAUGUCUAAAAUAUGCCCAAGGUACAUUUGAUAGGUGAUUUACACCAAGAAGUUUUGGAUAACAAAUCCCAAAGCAACGUUAGUUUCAAAUCUGUCCAAAUGCAUGGUUUUCCUACACAAAACCAGUUUCGAAUUUUGACCAUAAAUCACUCAAUUCAACUCGGAAUUGAGCGUGGUUGGUGGCGUUGGAAAAUAAAUUCAUAAGGCUACAUUUUCCUAGAUGAAACCAUUUUCAAAAUCCAUCCAUAACUAGUUCAUACAUGAGCAUCAAGUCGCAGUUCAUAAUCUGCCUUCCAGUGACAAAUGAAACAGGACAGAAAGUUUCAAACGAAUGGUUUGGCUCACUCGAGUGGAACCAGAAUGUGUAUUUUAUACCAAAUGAAAUCUGAGAAUGUCUAGUUUUCAGUGCCGCAAACAGUACUCGAUUCCGACAUCGGAGCGAUGAAUUAUAGCCGAAACAAGAUGACUGUCUGGGUAGUGACGGGAAUCAUUUUCCAGUUUUCUCAACUUUGGAAAUCACUUCAUUUAACCAACCAAACCAUGUUAUUUUUCCGUGAAUCUUUUUACGCAAUCGAAAUAACAUGUAAACAACAUAAACAAGCCAUUAGAUCCUCAAAAUUUCGAACCAAAGUGCUCUAACAAGGCAGGGCAAAACGGUCACUUUUGAUCAAUGCACCAUCCUUGAGUUUCUAUCAACAACCCAACAUUAAUCCACUAGUUUAAGCACUAAAUAAAGAUUAUUACCAUCAAAACACCACAAAUCAGUCCAUAUAUCCAAGGUGGGAGUUCAUAGAGCCCACUCACCAAUUUUACAACAAUUUAAAGCUACCCACGAGAAUCCAAGAGCUCAUGAGUGUAAUCUAACUUCCACAAAUCAAGAAUUGAGAGGUUGAUCGUUCAUUACCUAUUUGGAUGACUCAAACAGAAAUUUUCGGCCCAAAUAAGCUCAAGAAAACCGUGGAGUUGAGGCUCUUUUUCUAGCUUGAGUUGCGCUCCAAGUGUUUAGCAAAGUGUAGUUAAAAUUUGGGGUAAUUUGGUGGAGAUUUGAAGUAGUUUGGUGCAAGAUGGAGUGAAAAGAUGAAGAAGCAUUUUGGUCUUCUUCUUUCCCUUGCUGUUCGGUUGUGUUGAGGUGAGAAAUAGAGAGUGUUUGCUGAUGGUGAGGCUUCCGUGAGAAGCUUAGCAAUUGUGGGUUUCAAGUGUACAAAAGUAAACUCUCCAAUAGUGCGCGUACGCACGCGUUUUGUACUCGAUUUCUCUUAAAUUUGUUACACUAGUGCACUAAACCUAUAAUGCACUUACAUUCAUAUCAUCAUCACUCUUAGUAGUCCCAAAGUAAACAUCUAAGGUCCUUCAAUUAAUCGUGCGCGUAAAAACGCGUAUUUCCAAUUUAAGCGCGAUAACGCGAAAUCUCUAAAAAAAUUUUAUAAUGAUAAUAUUACUAACUAAUAUUUGAGUGCUUAAACAUAAAAUACCUAAUUUAGGACUAAUGUACAUGUCUCCAAUUUUUCCAAACUUAUUGUAUUCUCGAUUCAAUUAUUUACUCCAAUCGCGUAUUCACUAUUUUCACUUAACGAGUCUUCAGAAAUUAAAUUUUGAAACGAGUCACUUUAAAAAUAUAACUAAGCCAUAGAUCCCUUUAAUUAGGUCUAAAAAGGUUAGAAAAUAAUAUUUGGGGCAAUUGGCCAAAUAAAUAAUUAAAUGAGCUAGAAUUUGGAGUUUAAAAAUAGGUAAAUUUUUGUGAGUCUUUACAUGAAUCGAAUAUUAAUUCCUCAAUGAACCUUUCUUAAUCUACCAUUGAUCAUUCUUAACUCUCUAAUAUUAAAACAUUCCCAAUUCAAGUAUAGCCUCGAAAGACGUGCACUCAUUGUUCCGAACUAAACGAAUUCUUGAAAAGUAAAUUUUCCAACAAAACGCUUUAAAAAUAUCAAAAGAGGCGUAAUCCAUAUGAAUGGAUUUUAAAUAGUCAAAAUAAAUAAUUCGAAGAAAAUGAAUAAAUAAAUAUUUAAGUAAACUUGUAAUAUUCGAUAAAUAAGAAAAUUUUCGGGUCCUCACAAUAUCAAUAUCAGUGAUCUUUCUACUCCGUGGUAAUACUCGAGCAUACCAAUACACUUACCCAAAGCUACCGUCCUAUCCGACCAAGCCCUUUUGCUGGCUCGAAUAGUCCAUUGAACAAAGGGUUUUAGGGCCCAAUUCAGCCGGUAUGAUAAAGUACACACACGGCUUACAGUCAUGCACACUUAUAAUAACAUUUAGCCAAUUACCAAACUUUAAACUCAAUUAAGUCGAGUGCGAUAAAAUACACCAUCGACUUAGAAGGCGAGGGACAAUUGAGAUAUACUUUACAAUGAAUCACUUAGUAAUAUUUCAUAAUAAGCACAUUUAUCACAUAAUUCCACUUAAGUAAACAUAAACAGUUAAACACAUAAAUUCGGAAACACUCACCAAAUAUCCAAAUAAAUUACUCUUGAGCCUCAAGUUUGUUUCCUGGCUCACAGCUAUUCCCUGAGAUAAGUGUAUAAGUCCAAAGUAAAUAUAAAAUUUGUAGAUAUUCAUUUAUUAUUUAUUACCCUAUUAUCGGAACUAUUAAAAUCAAGUUUGACUUUAAAAUAUAAUAUAUUCAAUAUUUAUUCUACAUUUUAUUUCGAAGCUUAUUGACUUUAUCAUUUUAACUAAGAAAUAUACAUAUUUUUCAAGAUUAUAAUUUAUAAAUAUUUAAAUUAGGAUUAAACCAUUUUCUACUUUAUAUCCUAAGGUUAAAGUAAAUAAACUUUUCAUCCUUCCCUUUUUAAUCCAAACCAAUUCUAAGCUGCCUAUGAUUUGAGUUUUGUAGUAACUCAUUAGUUUUCUAGUUUUAAUUUUCUUAAAUGCUCAUAAGCGUAGUUUUUACAACCAAUUAGCUAGAAUUCAAGAUUUCAUAGAAGUUUCAUUUUUCUCUUCAUCCGAUCCCAUAACAGGAUUUCAGCUCAAAUGUUCCUAAACCUAUAAUAAACUUCACCUUUUAAUUGCUUAAACUUUAGUCACCUAAUAAACAUUCCAUUCAUGGUGAUUACCUCAUAAUUUCCGCAUGUUGACUGACCAUAUCAUAUUCAAGAUCUGUCAUCUACAAUGACAACCAUUAACUAAGCUUUCUAGCAAUGUAUCAGUCCAAUAUUCAGUAUAUUUCCCUUAAAUCUUUCCUUUCACUCUCAUGUCCCAACUAGCCAGGUUAAUUACAUUUAUUAAGCUACAAAGUAGCCUUGUACAUAACUUGGAAAAUUUUGCAGCUAACUUAGAGGAUAAGACUGUUCUACUCUUCCUUCUGUCUCUCGGUCAUGAGGUAAUUCAACAGCACAUCUCAUUGCUUCCCUCCUCAUUUGUUUUAGUUUAACUCUACUUACUGAACCAGCCGUAGACAUUAAACAACAAAGCAACCUUAGUUCUACCUGUGGAAGUUCACAGAGCCAGAAAUUAAAAAAAAGGCUGCUCUACAAGCUGAUUUCCUUCGCUUUUUUUUUUUCUAUCAUAGCAGAUUGUACCAGCUUCCUUUUGUCAAAUUUUAGUUAAGCUUCCUGAAGUUUUCUGAUUUCCAAGGCACCUAUCUGUUAAGGUAAAGAAUUAACAUAUCUCAUGCGGUUGUUAGUAAGUGUUUCCAACAUAUUAACAACAAGUUGCAUAUUCUGUUUCAUUUCCUCGGCCAACCUAUCUGCAGUAAAUUGAAGGAAAUCUGCAGUAAAUUGAACUCAUUCUUCCUUCAAUGUUCAUUUUAGUUUCCACUUGUUUCUGUCAUGCUCGAUGAAGUUAAGAUGCUUUACAAUACAUUACAGCUUAAUACGAAAUUUAAAACUAAACUUUGCAGAAGACAGCUAGAGUUUCUUCACUUCUUCUCUCUCGGAUGAAGCUAUAAGGAUUCUAGCAGGUUUCUUUCUUUGUUUUCAACUCAAAGUUUCAACUUUCACAAGUUUCUAUAGCUAAAAUUCACUUAAUGCCUUCCAUUUUUCCAUUGAUAACAAGCUGCAAUUCAUUUAGCCAUCUCUCGGUUCCCACAGAUUCAGUCCAGCUUCAAUUUUAUUCCUUCAUCAGAUUUUUCCUCAGUUAAAACUUAUUUUUCCUUGCUAAAAACUAACAUGCAGCCCAUAUAUUCAGUUAUACACUGUAAAUAAAAGAAGGUUACAAAGAGUUUUACCUUUUUCCUUUAAGUUUUAACGGUUACAGACUGCUCCUAAUCUUAGCCUCGGUUCCUCAACUCUUGCACCAGCUAUAUCUCCCUUCCUUGCAUUUGUUGGUUUGUUCGUUUAUGUUUAGCAGCUGAUGGAGUUAAUCAGCUUCCUCUCCUCACCUCUAAUUCCACUCCUCGGUUGGUUUGAGAAAGAAAGAAUGAAAUAAAGAAGGAAAGAAAGAAAAGUAAGGAGCUGCCUGGUUCCAGUGCACAAAUGAAAUUCUUAGCUUCUCUCUUUCGGUCACUGCUUACUCAGCAAUGAAAUUCCUGGCAGCUGUCUAAAUAAG
This 8298-nucleotide long non-coding RNA is filed under the name Coffea arabica (coffee). Its description in RNAcentral is "long non-coding RNA (CARA_LNC004174)". Lineage: Eukaryota; Viridiplantae; Streptophyta; Magnoliopsida; Gentianales; Rubiaceae. The record is from RNAcentral.